CAGUCGCCACGGUAAUACGUAGGUCCCGAGCGUUGUCCGGAUUUAUUGGGCGUAAAGGGAGCGCAGGCGGUUUAGUAAGUCUGAAGUUAAAGGCAUUGGCUCAACCAAUGUAUGCUUUGGAAACUGUUAGACUUGAGUGCAGAAGAGGAGAGUGGAAUUCCACGUGUAGCGGUGAAAUGCGUAGAGAUGUGGAGGAACACCAGUGGCGAAGGCGACUCUCUGGUCUGUAACUGACGCUGAGGAGCGAAAGCGUGGGGAGCGAACAGGAUUAGAUACCCCGGUAGUCCCUGUCUCUUAUACA
This 301-nucleotide ribosomal RNA is filed under the name uncultured bacterium. RNAcentral's name for it is "partial 16S ribosomal RNA". It matches the Rfam family "Bacterial small subunit ribosomal RNA", at positions 509 to 808 of the family's 1533-position model. The record is from RNAcentral.